Molecule: ribosomal RNA, 253 nt
Filed under: uncultured prokaryote
Description: partial 16S ribosomal RNA
Rfam family: Bacterial small subunit ribosomal RNA
Source: RNAcentral
ACGAAGGGGGCUAGCGUUGUUCGGAUUUACUGGGCGUAAAGCGCACGUAGGCGGAUCGAUCAGUCAGGGGUGAAAUCCCAGGGCUCAACCCUGGAACUGCCUUUGAUACUGUCGAUCUGGAGUAUGGAAGAGGUGAGUGGAAUUCCGAGUGUAGAGGUGAAAUUCGUAGAUAUUCGGCGGAACACCAGUGGCGAAGGCGACUCACUGGCCCGAUACUGACGCUGAGGCGCGAAAGCGUGGGGAGCAAACAGGA